GACGAACGCUGGCGGCGUGCUUAACACAUGCAAGUCGAACGGAAAGGCCCUGCUUUUGUGGGGUGCUCGAGUGGCGAACGGGUGAGUAACACGUGAGUAACCUGCCCUUGACUUUGGGAUAACUUCAGGAAACUGGGGCUAAUACCGGAUAGGAGCUCCUGCUGCAUGGUGGGGGUUGGAAAGUUUCGGCGGUUGGGGAUGGACUCGCGGCUUAUCAGCUUGUUGGUGGGGUAGUGGCUUACCAAGGCUUUGACGGGUAGCCGGCCUGAGAGGGUGACCGGCCACAUUGGGACUGAGAUACGGCCCAGACUCCUACGGGAGGCAGGAGUGGGGAAUAUUGCACAAUGGGCGGAAGCCUGAUGCAACAACGCCGCGUGCGGGAUGACGGCCUUCGGGUUGUAAACCGCUUUCGCCUGUGACGAAGCGUGAGUGACGGUAAUGGGUAAAGAAGCACCGGCUAACUACGUG
RNAcentral lists this ribosomal RNA (468 nucleotides) under uncultured bacterium. RNAcentral describes it as "partial 16S ribosomal RNA". It matches the Rfam family "Bacterial small subunit ribosomal RNA", at positions 28 to 507 of the family's 1533-position model. The record is from RNAcentral.